AUGAACGCUAGCUACAGGCUUAACACAUGCAAGUCGAGGGGCAGCAUGAUUGAAGCUUGCUUCAAUCGAUGGCGACCGGCGCACGGGUGAGUAACACGUAUCCAACCUGCCGAUAACUCGGGGAUAGCCUUUCGAAAGAAAGAUUAAUACCCGAUAGUAUAGUAUUUCCGCAUGGUUUCACUAUUAAAGAACUUCGGUUAUCGAUGGGGAUGCGUUCCAUUAGAUAGUUGGCGGGGUAACGGCCCACCAAGUCAACGAUGGAUAGGGGUUCUGAGAGGAAGGUCCCCCACAUUGGAACUGAGACACGGUCCAAACUCCUACGGGAGGCAGCAGUGAGGAAUAUUGGUCAAUGGACGAGAGUCUGAACCAGCCAAGUAGCGUGAAGGAUGACUGCCCUAUGGGUUGUAAACUUCUUUUAUACGGGAAUAAAGUGGAGUAUGCAUACUCCUUUGUAUGUACCGUAUGAAUAAGGAUCUGCUAACUCCGUG
RNAcentral lists this ribosomal RNA (488 nucleotides) under uncultured bacterium. RNAcentral describes it as "partial 16S ribosomal RNA". It matches the Rfam family "Bacterial small subunit ribosomal RNA", at positions 29 to 507 of the family's 1533-position model. The record is from RNAcentral.